Gopherus evgoodei (Goodes thornscrub tortoise) is the source of this 2487-nucleotide RNA transcript. It is a transcript of the gene named poly(A)-specific ribonuclease, with no coding region annotated. The transcript has 24 exons. Lineage: Eukaryota; Metazoa; Chordata; Testudines; Testudinidae. The record is from RefSeq and is a predicted model, not a curated record.
UGCUUCCGGAAGUGCUCGGCGCGGGCGGAGCCGGGUUUAGGACGCUGCGGAGCGGGGCUCCGGCCGGGCUGGUGCGGGCUGCGGGGAUGGAGAUCAUCAGGAGCAAUUUUAAGGAUAACCUAAAUAAAGUGUAUGAAGCCAUCGAGGAAGCAGACUUUUUGGCUAUUGAUGGUGAAUUUUCAGGAAUCAGUGAUGGGCCAUCUGUUAGCACGUUAACCAAUGGCUUUGACACACCAGAAGAAAGGUAUCAAAAACUUAAAAAGCAUUCCAUGGAUUUCUUGCUUUUUCAGUUUGGCCUUUGUACUUUUAAAUCUGACCACACAGAAGCUAAAUAUAUAAUGAAAUCAUUUAACUUCUAUAUUUUUCCAAAACCCUUCAAUAGAAGUUCACCAGAUGUCAAGUUUGUCUGUCAGAGUUCAAGUAUAGACUUUUUAGCAAACCAAGGUUUUGAUUUUAAUAAAGUUUUUCGCAAUGGAAUCCCAUAUUUAAAUCAGGAAGAGGAAAGACAAUUACGGGAGCAGUAUGAUGAAAAACGUUCUCAGGCAAAUGGUGCAGGGACCCUAUCGUACAUUUCCCCUAAUGCCACAAAGUGUCCUGUGACUAUUCCUGAGGAUCAGAAAAAAUUCAUUGAGAGAGUGGUGGAGCAAAUAGAAGAUUUGUUACAGAAUGAAGAAAACAAGAGUUUGCAGUUGGAGCCAUGCACAGGAUUUCAGAGGAAACUAAUUUAUCAGACCUUGAGCUGGAAGUAUCCAAAAGGUAUCCACGUUGAAACUCUGGAGACCGAGAAGAAGGAAAGAUACAUUGUUAUUAGCAAGGUAGAUGAAGAAGAGCGCAAAAGAAGAGAACAGCAGAAACAAGCAAAAGAACAGGAAGAACUCAGUGAUGCAGUGGGAUUUUCCCGAGUCAUUCAUGCCAUUGCUAAUUCUGGCAAACUUGUUGUUGGACACAACAUGCUACUGGAUGUCAUGCACACGAUCCACCAGUUUUACUGUCCCCUACCUGAAGACCUAAGUGAGUUUAAGGAGUUAGCGGCAUGUGUCUUUCCCAGACUAUUGGAUACUAAACUGAUGGCAAGUACGCAACCUUUUAAGGAAAUUAUUAACAACACGUCCCUUGCAGAACUGGAAAAGCGUUUAAAAAAGAUUCCAUUCAACCCUCCUGAAGUUGAAAGUGCAGAAGGGUUUCCAAGUUAUGACACAGCUUCUGAACAACUUCAUGAAGCAGGCUAUGAUGCUUACAUAACAGGACUGUGUUUCAUCUCCAUGGCGAACUACCUAGGUUCAUUUCUCAAUCCUCCGAAAAAUCAUGUAUCUGCUAGAUCAAAACUCAUUGAACCCUUUUUUAACAAGUUAUUUCUUAUGAGGGUAAUGGACAUACCAUAUCUCAAUUUGGAAGGACCAGACUUGCAGCCAAAACGAGACCAUGUUCUUCAUGUUACAUUUCCCAGAGAGUGGAAGACUAGUGAUCUUUACCAGCUUUUCAGUGCCUUUGGAGGAGUAAGCGGAGUCCAUGGGGGAGCCGCGGCAGUCGACUCGCCGCCGGGAGGACGGCCAGGUAACAUUCUGGUAUCUUGGAUUGAUGAUACAUCAGCAUUUGUGUCACUUAGUCAGCCAGAACAAGUACAAAUAGAGUUUCCACUGAGGGAUUUUGUGGUGGAGAAGAAAUUGAGUGCAGUUCACUUGUGCAACUCUGUAUAGCCUGGUGCAGGGCCAGGAACCUUAAACUUUUCCUUUGUCAAAAUGUAGAAUCUCCCUCACCCCCCACACCCCCUCUCCCUGGCCAAAGAGUGGCCAUUUAAUUAGGUGAUAGUUAGUUUGAUCUCACUGACACCUUUCUGAGGUGUUGGUAAGCCUUUUGUCUAUGGAGAACUCAUUUCUGACUGCCCUCUAGAACAUGUUGGAACAUGCUUUGUUAUUAUACAGUGGAAUCUUAUAUCUUUACAUACAGUGUUGCCACACAUAUUUUACCACACAAUAAUCAGCAAAACAUUAGUUUUCAAAUGAUACAUUACACAGUAUGCUUUGUACAAAAUUUAACAUAGUCUUUUAAAAGGGGUGAGCGUAGGGCACAGACUCUUAAAUCAGAAGUUUCCCCACCCCAGUUCACACUCUUCUUAGGGGAGGCAGAGGAGUUGCCCCAGGACCUGGAGCACUCCUGAUUGGUCUUAAUGCGACCUCUUCUUUGGCAUUGACAGUGGAGAACGACUCCUGCGCCUCUUCAAAGCGGUCCCUGCCCCAGAAUGGGUGGUGGCACCACUCUCCAAACCUGAGGGUGAUCUACAGCCUGAAGAACAGCUUGGUACUGGGUCAGGCCUCAUGGCCUGCUCGUGCAGGUGCUGCUUAAGGCGAAAGUCCUACACCACCUGAGGCUUUCUCUUACAAUCUGCAGGUCAAACAGCACUACUUAAGCUGUAAACACCAGCAGGUAUGCUGAAAGUUAUAGGAUCCAGACCUAUGCAGAAUAUGUUGAGAAAAAACAUGAAGAGAA